GCUCCUCGCCCUCGCCCCUGGCUCCUCGCCCCUCGCCCCUGGCUCCUCGCCCUCGCCUGUCGCCUCCCGCAGCCCUUUACCUGUCCUCAAACACGUCCCUGCUGCUUCCCCCUGGUUUGGGCUGAGCCGCCCCUGUGAAUCCAGAGAAGGGAAGACACACGUCCCCUCCGCUCGGGGAGCUCAAAAUGGAGGGAAAGUGACGGACCAAACCCAAAGUGGCAAGACUUUGUACAGAGGUGAGGAAUGUUAGAGGGAUGAAGUUCUAGAACUGAGAAUAGUUGGGUGGUCUGAAUUACCUGGGUGCCAGAGAAGUAGUUCAAGGGUGACGUGAGAUGUGACAUGAAGGAUGAAGUAGAUGCGCCGAGAGAGAGAGAGAGAGAGAGAGAGAGAGAGAGAGAGAGAGAGAGAGAGAGAGAGGGAGAGAGAGAGAAGAGUUUGGGGACAAAGGGAGGCACCAUUCAGGUCAAGGUAAAUGUGACUGUGCAAGAGCCUGAAAGAACUGAUGAAUUUCCUCAAGAACCCAGAGGAAACAGUUGAUGGAAACACAGACAGUGAGAGGAAGGAGAGGGCAGUUUCGACUGGAGUCAUCAAAUGGAGCCCACAAGAAAAGCCCGUGGGUGGUGACAGCUUUUGACUUUUAUACUAAAUUCAAUGGGAUAUGACUGAAGUUUUAACGAGAUUAAAACCAUGAUCGCAAUACAGUUCUCAAUCUUUUACCUACGUUUCCAAAUUCAGAAAUCUCAGAAAACCAGAUCUUUCUAAGAAUUUUGAUGCAGAACCCGUUGGCAAAUCUAAUCUGAUGAGGAGCUGAGGACAUGGAGAGUGAUUGCAAGUCAAGAACCCUUUGCUCUGGACCUUGCUGCACCAUCACUUAGUGUUGUAGAUUUGAGGAAAAUAUUUAACCUUAACCUUGAAAUGAAGGCACUGCAAUCUUUCUGGUACUUCGAUAUGGAAAGUGAUGUGAUUCUCUGGACAGCCCAAGGAGCAGCAUCUCCUGGUGUCUAAGCUGAACUUCUUCCCGUGAAGCAAAAGGAGCAGUUCUCAACUUCUGCUGUGUAUAAGGAGUGUCAAGUAAGACUUUAUUUCCUGAAGAAGAGAUGGUUAAAUCGGUUUCUAGAAGAGUGGUUAUCAAUACACAAGUUCUACAGUUUCUGUUCUUGAUACAUGAAGUGAUAGGUUUGUUUUCAUUGAUAAUAAAUCAAAACACUUUUGGGAACUAACAAAAGACAUCAGAAGCACAAGCUUUUGUUGAACACAGGCAGGUGGAAAUUUGCAGCAUCACAAAAUGUCUUGAGUCCUACCAGUUAUCACAGAAUGGGACUCAUUUGUGGUAAGCCUGAAAAGUUGCAAUAUAUCUGGGAAAUCAGCAAUCCACAGAAUGUUAGCACAGAAUGUCCAUCAUUUAUCCAAGUAGUCUCAAAAUAUUCUCUGCAGUUCUCAGACAGCUAUGACCAUGAAUAUGGAACUGAGAAGUGAGAAGCAGGUCAGAAGUCCCUUUAUCUAAGAAAAAAUAGUAACAAUAAGAAGUGGAUAAAUGCGGCCAAUUUCUUCUACCAUGGAAGACAUGUAUCUUUGGCAGAAGACUGUCCCAUUUACAGGUCAUAUUAGCACUUAGCAGACUUGAUAGGACCCUCUCCAGUGAGAUCUCAUCAAUGAUGUCUUCUAUUGGGGAACUUUGGAUGAAGCCAGUCUUUAUACUGUGGCAUUACCUAAGUCAAUAGACAGGGCUUCUCCAACUUCUGAAUGUCAUUUUUUGACUCAAUUUUUCUGUGUUUUAUAAUACUUAACAUGCACUCUUUUUUAGAACCAGAAUGUUUGCUAUUGACUAGUCACAGAAAGAACAACUAGAAUUCUCAUAGGCCUGUCAUUAAUAUCAUAUGUAGGAAGAAUUUUAGUUUACUUUCUUUUUGUUCUAGGCCAUGUUUUAAUUGUACUAUGGCAAAAUACUUAUCUCUUAUCUGGUACAAAUACUGGCCAUAUUAUUUUUCAAAAUUCUGCUUUGUUGUUUCAUUAGUCAACUGCCCAUUGAUUCUUGUU
Molecule: long non-coding RNA, 2037 nt
Organism: Canis lupus familiaris (dog)
Lineage: Eukaryota; Metazoa; Chordata; Mammalia; Carnivora; Canidae
Exons: 3
Source: RefSeq, a predicted model, not a curated record